Molecule: ribosomal RNA, 477 nt
Filed under: uncultured soil bacterium
Lineage: Bacteria
Description: bacterial SSU rRNA
Rfam family: Bacterial small subunit ribosomal RNA
Source: RNAcentral
AGGACGAACGCUGGCGGCGUGCUUAACACAUGCAAGUGGAGCGACGAAGCGGGCUUCGGCCCGUGGCAGAGCCGCGAACGGGUGAGUAACACGUGGGUAACCUGCCCCGAUGACUGGGACAACCCGGGGGAAACCCGGGCUAAUACCGGAUGUUCUCCCGCCACAUCAGUGGCAGGAGGAAAGGUAGCUUCGGCUUCCGCGUCGGGAUGGGCCCGCGGCCCAUUAGCUUGUUGGUGGGGUAAUGGCCUACCAAGGCUUCGAUGGGUAGCUGGUCUGAGAGGACGAUCAGCCACACUGGGACUGAGACACGGCCCAGACUCCUACGGGAGGCAGCAGUGGGAAUCUUGCGCAAUGACACGAAAGUGUGACGCAGCAACGCCGCGUAGGGGAAGAACGGCCGUUACGGGUUACGUUAAACCCCUUUGAGGGAGGACGAAGCCGUGGCUGGUGAAGUAGCCAGUCCGAGGUCGACGUACC